Panicum virgatum (switchgrass) is the source of this 3735-nucleotide long non-coding RNA. RefSeq lists it as uncharacterized. The transcript has 3 exons. Lineage: Eukaryota; Viridiplantae; Streptophyta; Magnoliopsida; Poales; Poaceae. The record is from RefSeq and is a predicted model, not a curated record.
AAGCACAUUGCAAUCAUUAGUCGCAUGAGAGAAAGUAUUAUGAAAUUUGCAAUAAGCUCGCCGCUUUAAUUCUUCAAGCGGCGGUAUGACAUGCGAUAUCUUGAUGUAUCCAUUCUUAUAUAAUUCAUCAAAUAUCCUAUCACAUUUGGAUAUAUCAAAAGCAAAUCUUUCUUGCCAAUCAUUAUGAAUCGGCUUAAGAGAACCGCAAACGCAAGGUUUAUCAUUGGAGGGCCAAACAAAGUCAGCGGUAUAAAUAUAUUUACCUUCAUCGUCCAAACCAUUGGAAUCACACCCAAGCACAUAAACAGAACGAUUAGGUUUUUCAUUGGACUUUUGAGAGUCUCUAGCUUCUUUAGCUCGGCUUUCAUUAGCCAGAGCCUUUUGUAGGACUUGACUAACAUCUAGGAACUGUUGUCCCUCUAGAUUUGCUUUAUGAAAAUCAAGUAAACCAGCAAAAGCUAGAUCAGCCAAAUCUCUAUCAGAAAUUGUCAAACUAUAACAUUGGUUUCUAGUAUCUCUAAAUUUUCUAAUAUACUCAGAAACACCUUCAUGUAUUUUUUGUUUAACCGAUGAAAGAUGUGACAAUCUCAAUUCAGUUUCACCAGUAAAGAAAUAAUCAUGGAAUUUCUGCUCUAAAUCAGCAAAAGUGAAAACUGAAUUAGGUGGCAAUGAAAUAAACCAAGUAAAUGCAGCACCCGAUAGAGAUAAAGGAAAUAACCUCAAUUUUUAAAUGUCAUUAGUGCUAGCUUCACUAUAUUGUAUAAUAAAUUGACCAAUAUGCUCCAAUAUAGUUCUACUAUCAUCACCAGUGAAUUUAACAAAUUCAGGAAUUUUAAACCCUUGAGGAUAUGCAACAUAAUCGUAAUUCUCAGGGUAUGGUCUUUGAUAAGUUCGGCAUUUGGCUUUAGGUUCUAUACCAAAGGUUUGCCGAAAUAUCUUCAUCACCUCUUCUUUAAUACUACAUGAUCCAACAUCAUCAGCAUUAGGCCGAUUUGUGAUCGCUGUACUAGUAGGUUGAGCAAAGGUCGGCGGUGUAGAAUGUCGCAACGAACUUGCUGCCCUAUAUGGCACAUUGACAUUAGGUGAUGCAUUAUAAUUAAUUCGACUAUGCUGAUUAGCCGAAUUAGUCGCAAUAGCAUUAUUAGUUAGAAUUGCCGAACCACGCAUCGUCUUAUCGGUAUUAGAUGUAGAUGUAUUAUUACCGACAGACUUCAUACCAAGAUGUAUUUCAAUUCGGCUAAAACGGUCAUCAAACAUAUCAUGCAUAUUUUGACCAAUAAAUUCCAACUUAUUAUUUACAUGAGAAGCAACAACACUAUCUAUCAUAUUAGUUACUUCUGAAUCAAAAGCAGACUGUUUAUCCUCAUCAAAUUUUACCUCAAAUUGUGAAGCAUCGAAGGCGUCAUCCGUCAUGAUCUUCCCUUGUCGGUCGAUGGAGAAGUGCGAGAUGUACUGGUUCAUGGCUUCUUCUUCUAGCCUCUGGAUCUCCUUCUCUUCUCUUCUCUGAUCUUCUUCUGGAUGUCAUCAAGAAUCUUCUGAUGCUCAGCCGGAAGUUGUUGAACAUUCGGCCUCCGGAUAUUGGCAGAAUCAACUUCACUAGGUUUAGGAAUACCGGUCAUGGCAACCAAUUUAUUUUUUUCUUCCCCAGCGGAGUCGCCAAAAUAUGUUGGCGCAGAACUAGAGCCAACACACGAAAACGCUUGAACGCGCAGCGAGCGACGGCACAACGCAGCGCUGAUGCUUAGACCGGUCAGACCGGUUGGGUAUACCGGUCAGACCGGUUGUCGCCGGACAGGCCGGCGGCGAAACCAACGAACGUCGCCCGGGAAGGAUUCGUCGGGGCAGGCGCACGCAGGGUUGUUCUAGGGUCGGCAGGCCACCUAGAACGCCCUCAAUCGACGUAGAGACGAAGGAGGAACAACAGAUAGUAUAUGGGAAAAAGCUAGGGUAAAAAGAAAGUAAAAAGAUAAAAGUUUUUGUAUUUGAUCGAUUGGAUACCCUAAUCGGCCGUGACCCUUUAUAUUUAUAGGGUGGGGUGGACUUAUCCCGCAAGAAAUGCUAUUACAAGAUCUAAAUCUAUUAAAAACCCUAGUUGUACUCGGAUUCCACUUGGACCGGUCAGACCGGUCGACCCUACCGGUCAGAUCGGUCGGCUGCUGCCGGACCGACUACAGCGUCUGACCGGUCAGACCGCUAGGGCGUACCGGUCUGACCGGUCGGUAUUGUCGAAUGCCAAUUUUGGUCGUCAACAGGUAUAACUUUUGGGGAUGGUGAUACUUUUAAGAAAUCUAUUAGGCAGUAUGCAAUAAAAGGUGAAUAUAAAAUUGCAACUUCCUAUUCUGAGUCAACAAAGUAUAGAGGUUAUUGUAAAGCUGAAGGGUGCAAGUGGACGAUACAUGUAUCACAAUUGCAGGAUGAAAAGACUUGGAAGAUAAAGAAGAUACCUGAACCACACACUUGCCAAAGCACUGGAAAGGUUGAAAAGAACAACAUGGCAAGUAAUCAUUGGGUUAGAGAGAGGGUUCUUGAUUGGCUUGCAAAGGAUCCUACAAUUGGGGUUAAAGCACUUAAAACCCGACUAGAAGAAUAGUAUUACUUGCAACUAUCAUAUUGUGUGGUAUGGGAUGGAAGAAAUAUGGUGGAACAACUCAAAGGGAAGUGGGAUGAUAGCUUUGAGCAUACUUUUAGUUUCAAGGCUGAGAUAGAGAAAACAAAUUCUGGAAGCCUUGUGGACAUUAAAUAUGAGGAAGUUGGGAAAAAAAUGAGAUUAACAAGAAUGUUUAUUGCCUUGAAAGCCUGUGUGGAUGAUUUUUUAAAUGGCUGCAGGCCUUUCCUUUGGCGUGGAUUCCACACAUUUGACUGGAAAAUGGAGGGGCCAACUUGCAUAUGCAACUGCUAUUGAUGGGCACAAUUGGAUGUUUCCAGUGAGUUAUGGUGUGUUUGGUUCAGAGACAACUGACAAUUGGUCUUGGUUUUUUAGCAGACUUUAUCAAGCUAUUGGGUUACCUCUUGGACUUGUGAUCUCAACAAAUGCUGGAAAAGGUAUUGAUUCUGCUUUUACUCAAGUAUUUACAAGUGGCGUUGAGCAUAAAGAGUGCAUGAGUCAUUUAGUUGCAAAUUUCCAAAAGAGAUUUCGUGGAGAGGUCUUUGAGAAACACUUGUGGCUAGCAUGUAGAUCUUAUCAAAGACACAGGUUUGAAGAGCAUUUCAAUCUGAUGAAAGAAGCAUGUCUUGAAGCCAUGAAGUGGAUACAUGAUAACCAUAAGCACCUUCGGACAAGGCACCAGUUUUCUGAAGCAAGUAAGUGUUACUAUGUCACAAAUAACAUAGCUGAAACAUUCAAUUGCUGGAUUAGACAUGCAAAAUCCAUGCAUGUGGUUGAACUUAUGGAUACAAUUAGACAACUAUGCAUGGAACAAAUGUUCUUAAGAAGAAGAAUUUCCAAGGAGCUUGAAGGCAGGAUACUACCUAACAUUAUGAAGGACCUCAACGAAAGGAAUAGGGGCCUGAAAUAUGUAUGGAGGUAUUCACACAAAUAUGGUGGCAAAAAUGAUGAGAUGUUGGGUGAGGUAGAAGGUGUCACAAGAGAUCUGGUUCAUUGAAGAAAUGUUGUUGAUCUUCAGGAGAGGACAUGCACUUGUAGGCGUUGGUAAGUUACCGGUUUACCAUGUACAUAUGCUUUGUGUAUUAUCACUUCAAUUCGAGGUUAUAAAAAUUGCAGACUAUGUUUAUGAA